RNAcentral lists this ribosomal RNA (253 nucleotides) under uncultured bacterium. RNAcentral describes it as "partial 16S ribosomal RNA". It matches the Rfam family "Bacterial small subunit ribosomal RNA", at positions 524 to 776 of the family's 1533-position model. The record is from RNAcentral.
UACGUAGGGGGCUAGCGUUGUCCGGAAUCAUUGGGCGUAAAGAGCGUGUAGGCGGCCCGGUAAGUCCGCUGUGAAAGUCGGGGGCUCAACCCUCGAAUGCCGGUGGAUACUGUCGGGCUAGAGUGCGGAAGAGGCGAGUGGAAUUCCCAGUGUAGAGGUGAAAUUCGUAGAUAUUGGGAAGAACACCAGUGGCGAAGGCGGCUCACUGGCCCGUAACUGACGCUGAGGUGCGAAAGCGUGGGGAGCAAACAGG